UAACACGUAUCCAACCUGCCGUCUACUCUUGGACAGCCUUCUGAAAGGAAGAUUAAUACAAGAUGGCAUCAUGAGUCCGCAUGUUCACAUGAUUAAAGGUAUUCCGGUAGACGAUGGGGAUGCGUUCCAUUAGAUAGUAGGCGGGGUAACGGCCCACCUAGUCUUCGAUGGAUAGGGGUUCUGAGAGGAAGGUCCCCCACAUUGGAACUGAGACACGGUCCAAACUCCUACGGGAGGCAGCAGUGAGGAAUAUUGGUCAAUGGGCGCAGGCCUGAACCAGCCAAGUAGCACGAAGGAUGACUGCCCUAUGGGUUGUAAACUUCUUUUAUAAAGGAAUAAAGUCGGGUAUGUAUACCCGUUUGCAUGUACUUUAUGAAUAAGGAUCGGCUAACUCCGUGCCAGCAGCCGCGGUAAUACGGAGGAUCCGAGCGUUAUCCGGAUUUAUUGGGUUUAAAGGGAGCGUAGAUGGCUGUUCAAGUCAGUUGUGAAAGUUUGCGGCUCAACCGUAAAAUUGCAGUUGAUACUGGAUAUCUUGAGUGCAGUUGAGGCAGGCGGAAUUCGUGGUGUAGCGGUGAAAUGCUUAGAUAUCACGAAGAACUCCGAUUGCGAAGGCAGCCUGCUAAGCUGCAACUGACAUUGAGGCUCGAAAGUGUGGGUAUCAAACAGGAUUAGAUACCCUGGUAGUCCACACGGUAAACGAUGAAUACUCGCUGU
This 714-nucleotide ribosomal RNA is filed under the name uncultured bacterium. RNAcentral's name for it is "bacterial SSU rRNA". It matches the Rfam family "Bacterial small subunit ribosomal RNA", at positions 111 to 823 of the family's 1533-position model. The record is from RNAcentral.